UACGGGGGGGGCAAGCGUUGUUCGGAAUUACUGGGCGUAAAGGGCUCGUAGGCGGCCAACUAAGUCAGACGUGAAAUCCCUCGGCUUAACCGGGGAACUGCGUCUGAUACUGGAUGGCUUGAGGUUGGGAGAGGGAUGCGGAAUUCCAGGUGUAGCGGUGAAAUGCGUAGAUAUCGGGAGGAACACCAGUGGCGAAGGCGGCUUCCUGGCCUGCAACUGACGCUGAGACGCGAAAGCGUGGGGAGCGAACCGG
RNAcentral lists this ribosomal RNA (253 nucleotides) under uncultured bacterium. RNAcentral describes it as "partial 16S ribosomal RNA". It matches the Rfam family "Bacterial small subunit ribosomal RNA", at positions 524 to 776 of the family's 1533-position model. The record is from RNAcentral.